CGACGACUAUCAACGAAAUAUCGAUUUGGCUCACUGUUGCCGAAGGAGUGUUGGCCCGACUCUUCUUCGAAGCUUGGGAAGGGCCUGCACUUGCAGUAGGCCUCUUCCUGGCGGCAUAUUGUCAGAUUUCAUUUGCUGAAGGUCGAGCUACACACCGCAUAGAUGCAAAUAAAAGAUAAAAUGACUUAGUUACAAAUUCUAAGCCAAAAAAAAAGAGAUGAAAAUAAAAGAUCAACCAUGUUAUACCUACGGC
RNAcentral lists this long non-coding RNA (253 nucleotides) under Elaeis guineensis (African oil palm). RNAcentral describes it as "long non-coding RNA (EGUI_LNC011965)". The record is from RNAcentral. Lineage: Eukaryota; Viridiplantae; Streptophyta; Magnoliopsida; Arecales; Arecaceae.